Chelonia mydas (Green sea turtle) is the source of this 6667-nucleotide long non-coding RNA. RefSeq lists it as uncharacterized. The record is from RefSeq and is a predicted model, not a curated record. NCBI's taxonomy places the organism in Eukaryota, Metazoa, Chordata, Testudines, Cheloniidae. The transcript has 3 exons.
ACACAGUAUACGUUUUUUAAAUUUUAAACUAUUUAAUACUGUACUCACCAAUGAUUGUGAAGCUUGGUUGAUGCGGGGCAUAGUGGGGUCGGGGCGCGGAGCCUUGUCCCACUCCACCCCUCCGGCGCUCCUGUCCGAGAGCGGGGUCGGGGGCUUGCUCACUCCCCAGCUGGAAUGCCAGUGAGCGGGGCAAGCCCCUGUGCCUUGACCCCACUCUCUGGCAGGAGCAACGGGUGGAGCGGGGCGAGCCAAACAACUUUAUAACAGAACGUUGCAUGACUUUAAAUGAGUACGUUCUCUAAUAGAUCAGCAACCUAAUAACAAAACAAUGUUAACUGGGAUGACUUUAAGUGAGGAGUUACUGUAUUUAAUCAAAUCACCUCUCAAACGUCUUUUUGAUAAACAGCUUGAGCUUGCACUACCUAUGUCAACGGGAGGGGUUCUCCUGUCAUGAUAGGUAAUCCACCUCCCCGAGAGGCAAUAGCUUAUGGAAGAAUUCUUCCGUCGACCUAGCAUUGUCUACACAGGGUCUUAUGUUGGCUUAGCUACGCCACUCAAGGAUGUGGAUUUUUUUUAAGCCCGUGAAUGAUGUAGUUAACCUAAUUUUCUGGUGUAGACCAGGCCUUGGUGUCUCACUGUAAGGUAUUUUCCCCAGCCCAUAAGUCAUUUUUGUGGCUCUCUGCUGCACCCUCUCCAGUUUUUCAACAUCCUUUUUAAAAUGUGGACACCAGAACUGAGCUCAGGGUUCCAGUAUUUCUCUCACCAAUACCAUGUACCGAGAUGAAAAUCACCUCCGUAUGGCUACUCACCCUCUUUGUAUGUCCAAGGGUCUUAUCAGCCCUUUGUGGCAUGGCAUUGCACUGGGCACUCACUUGUCCCCUGUGUCCCCUAAAUCCUUUUCAGAGUCACUGCUUUCUAGGAUACGACCCCCUCCCCCAUUCUGUGUUCCUUGUUUCUAGAUGUGCAACUCUGCUUUUGGCUGUAUUAAAAUACAUUUGUUUGAAUGGGCCCAGCUUGCUAAGCGCUUCAGAUCCCUCUGUCGUCUUCAUUAUUACAGUCUACCAAUAGAAAGCUGCAGUUUCAAUGCAGAAGCCUGGCAAGGUUCAGUCCUCCAGCAUCUACUAGGUGGAUUCUACAGACAGACGAGACUGCAGACAGACGUUCUUGAGGAAGCCACGUGGCUUGAUGCUGGCAGGUUCCAACAGGAAGAAACAUCCUUGAAGGGAAACGCAGAGGCUGGGCUGGAGCAUGGUUAUGGAAGGGCCCACAAGUUGCACUUGGAGUGUGUACAGCAUGAUUGUAGGGCUGCGUAUUUCUGAGUGCUAGCUGGUCCUAGUUGCGGACCAGUUGUAGGCACUGGAAUUACAGCCAAAGCUUUAGAGACAAGGCUGAGAAACCAAAUUGGAUAAGGGCAUGGGGGGAGGGGGAGGCCGAGACUGCAGAUGGGGUUGAUGUGGAGGAGGAAGAAUGUGACGACAAUGAAGACUAGAAAUACUAGGGGGUCAUACACAUCGCAGCUUGUGUUGGCUGAUCUCAUUGCACCCACCAGGGGGCGUGCGCACGCAAGCCUCCAUUCCCGCCUCCCGGGGUCCCGCCCCCCCAUCCCCCCCUCUACUGCAGGGACUCUCUCUUACUCCCACCACUCCCUCCCUGCCUCAUGCCUGGGGCUGUCCGCCCAUUCUCCCUUCCCCUGCCAUGGCAGAGUCUCGCUGUGCCCUCCACUCUUCCCACUGUCACAUGCCAGGGUCCCCCAAUCGCCCCUUGCCAGGGGUUCUGUGUGCCCCCUAUUCCCCCUUCCUCCCAUAAGUCAUCCAUUCUCCUCCCCCGUGUGCCAAAGACUGCGUGCACCCAUACCAGGGUCCCUCAAUUCCCCCCCCCCCCGCCCCCGGGCCUGCCAAGGGCAGGGCACGUCUCCCUUCCCCACGCAACAUUGUUAUUUGUCUCCUUUCUCUUUAGGAGAUCAGACACUCAGUGUGUCCACGUAUAAUAACUCUUGGGAAGCUGGACAGAGCUGAGAUUGGGGUGGAGGUGGGGGUAAUUUUUAUGCUGGAAGGCAGUAAAGGGUGCCAUCAACCGCUCUUUAAUCUAUAGGCAAUUGCAGAGCUUCUUGAAGCUCUGGCCAUGUUAAACAGAGGCCGAGGCGCUGUGCGUACCCCAUUUCCCCCUGUCCAUUUUCAGAUUUCCUCCCGAAUCAAUAGGGGUCUGCCCAUUGAUGCCUAGAACAUUCCCUGAAAUUCUGGAAUUGAUGGGGUGCAGUGUUUGAAAAGUGAUGGCAUGACAGACGGGCCACAAGUUGGGCGUAAGGCCUUGCAAGCUUGGCCUGCUAAGAGCAGAAGGGGAAAGUGGAGCUAUACAGCCCUGCAAGAGCUAGUCUGACCUUGCCAGGAUAGAGGAGGACAGAGAGAGGUCCAAGUGGGGGCGGGGGGUGGUGGUGGUAAGUAGCCAAACCGAAGAGGCAUUCAUAGAUCUAGUCAUAGUGAUCCUGAGCGGCACCUCCUGCAUGGAUGGGGAAGCUGACCUGAGAGAUCUGACGCAGAUAAAGAACAGCAUAAAAUCUGGCCUCCUGGGAGCCUGGCUAGAUGUGAUGAGACGGGCGGAGUGUACCGGAGACGCUUGCACCAUCCGUCUCUGCAAGGACAAGUGAUGAGACAGCUUGGAGCAGGGAGGUGCCAGUAUCACCAUGGAAGAUCAGUCUUCUGAAGGGAGCACGUUUCUGGCCAUUGUGUCUGUACGAGCAAUGAGCUCAAUGAGCCCCAAACCUCUGUGCUUCCCCGAGGGCAUCGUCCUCCUCCAGCCUCCUGGGGCACCAGACACUACAACGCCAAGCAAGGCACAACUUUCCGAAAGGCUCUUGCAGGUCACAAUUACCAACACACUGUGGCCUGGUUCUGUUUUGGGAGAAGUUUGGACGGUGUCUGUUCACAUCUCACUUGCUGUACAACUUGUGUCCUCACAAGAGGGUUUUUGGAUUGUUUGCUUUGCUCUUUAGACUAAUCAGUCACAUAACAUAGUGCCACAGAAGUGCUUCUGAUUGGGGUGGAGAAGUGUCUAACCGUUGUGGCAAUCGGAACAGGACGAGUUUGGAGGAGAACAAAGAAUGGAACGUGCCUUCACCGAGUGGCAUUUAAAUUGGACAAGCAGCAAGGAGACUCAUGAUGUUCUGUACAAAAUAGCCAUUUGCUUCGUAAGUGGGGAAAUACCUCAGGGCUUGGAGUUCUGCAGAGAUUCACUCCUGACCUUAGUCCUGCUGAAGAUGAUGCACUGAACCCUGUGCAGUUUACCCUCUCUCUGCAUCUGUUGGACGGGUUCAUAAAUGAAAGGCCCUGUCUGCUCUCUAGGGACAGGAAAGAUGCCGUAUCACUUCUUGUAGGUCAGGGUUUGACCUAGUAUCUUUGGCCAAAUCGUCCCCCCACAGUACUGUCUGUUUAUCAAUGUACGCCACCUGCAUCUUAUAGUCCAUUGCUCCUCCCUUACCCCCUCCCCCCCCCCGCCAAAGUCAGAGGCACUGAAUGCCAGAAGGGCUGUUACUUCUCUGAACUGCACUAGUGUUUGUGUAGGGGUGGAUGUUCUGGGCCGCAUGCAGAGGUGAUGUGUAUCCGGGGGGCGGGAGAGAAAUCAGCUAAGACCAAGCUGCUCUAAUGUCCCAUUUUCAUUUCACAGACAGCAGGACUGAGCCCUUGGUUUGCAGAGACCUUAGUGGGGGGUUUCACAUUGUAAAGUAAACAAGUUCAAACUAGCACCUUGAGAAUCCACCUACUAUACAAGCCUCAUCCAGAGGCUUUUCUAGCAGAGCCAAUGGCCAAUUGGCUCCUUUAGUUUCGUUGAACGCCAUUGCUUCCCCUAAAGAAGAAUCCUUGGUGGAGGCAAAUUUGCAUCCCCUUCUCUGCCCUGCCCCUGGCUGCACUUUGACAGGUCACAGCCCCCCACCCUCAGCUCGCUGAGCCCAAAGAGGCUUAGACAGGGGUGUGGAGCUAAAAAUCCUUUGAACUGGCUGGGUUCAGGCAUCCUGUGUUGAGGUUAGGGUAGAAUGGGGUUUGGAGAGCGAGUUGACAGCGGGAGCAGAGGAGCCAGUCCACAACGGGAUAUGCUGGGGAGUGGAAGUGCCCAUUCAGGGUCCACCAGGCAAGGCUGCAUGCACAUCUGGGCACAUCCAGCCCCUGCUCCUUGCGUAUACAGAGCACCCACGGACAGUUGUCUGUGUGCAUAGUGCCCCAUCACACCCAGUUAGCACUCCCUACGCAUACAGGGCACCUAGGGACUCUGCCCCAUGUGCAUGGAGCACCCAUCACACCCAGGGACUGCUCCUGGGCCUACGGGGCACCCAGGGACUGAGCCACGUGUGCAUGGAGCACCCGUCACACCCAGAGACUGCAACAUAAGCAAAGCGCCUAGCAAACAUUUAUGCUGCUGUAAACCAGCCCUUCCAUGUGCAGAUCCUGCACCCCUGCACUAAUGACCUGUUGUGGUGUGUAAUGAGCACUGGACUAGCUCUCCAUGGCACUCAGGCUCCCAAAUGAGUGCUGAGACUCCCAACCUUGGCCAGCAGUCCUCAGACCAAGUGAUUCUGUUAAGCUACCAUUAUGGCCAGCAGCCUCUGUGCCCAGCAUGCCACCUGUGCACCCUCCCCAUGCACUGCCUCUCCUUACCCUUGCACAUCUCCUUGGAGCUGGCACCAAGCACCCGUCUUCCCUAGGAACCGCUCCAUGGCACCCAACAGCCAUGGCUGAGCACCCACUGCACCAUGCGAGCUGCAUGGGUAUGCUGAGCAAGCUCUCAGUGCAUGCCAGGCUGACCAGUGACCUUUCAUGAGUGCAGCAUGCCCUUAAGGGUCUGCACCCUCCAUACACACUCAGCAUCCCCUUUCCUUCGUGCUUAGAGGCUGAGUGAUCCAUUUCCGUCAGGAGUGAAGUGUCUGCUCUGCCCAGAGACCUUCCCAUGUGCACCCAGUGCAUUCAGUGUACACAGACUUGGAUCUCUGUGUGCAUCGCGCGACUGGCCCACCUUGCAACAAGCAAUGCACACUGACCUCCUGUGUGCGCACCAAGAGACUGUCACAUCAGUGACUCCUCCCCAGGCACCAAGACCUACAGUCAACCUCUCCAUGAGCGUUGAGAGAAGCUACAGCAGCCACCGAGUGACCUCUCAGGGCCCCAAGAUUCACCACUCCAGCCAGUGGCCUCUGCCUGCACCUUCCACGCAUAUCUGGCUUGGCUCGUUUAUGCAUCCCAGAUGUGGGUGAGCGCAUUCUCCUGCUCCUCCAUCAUGAAAAUGUCUCAAAUUUGGGAACUAGCCAGUGGGAGGAGUCACGCCCAAAAUUCUGAGACCAAGUCAUUGCUUCAUAGAUGGGCAGCUGCUUGGAAAUCAGCUAUUCCAUGUGUCACUCACCAGUGUGGCCCUCAUUAAUAUUCUGCCGUUAUUACACUCAUAUUUAAAAUGGUUAUAGCCCAUUUAACUCAAAAGAUCCCAGCAUGCCUGACAAGCCACCUAGAGCAGUGGUGAGUAAAACUUUAACACUGAGGGCUGAAAUGGCAACUUGUCAGGAGUCUGAGAGUCACAACUCUGGAAUAUAUUUACAUACAUUUGCAUGAUUUUAUGUCUAGCCACAUUCCCCCUUGAUGCAUUUAGAAUAAAGGAGCUCAAUCUGUUUAGCUUAACCUUCUCUUUGUUAAGGGGUGACCUGAUCAGUCUGUAAUUAUCUACAUGGGGAACAGAUAUUUGAUAAUAGGUUCUUCAAACUAGCAGAUAAAGGUAUACCAAGACCAGGUGGCUGGAGGUGGAAGCCGGACAAAUUCAGCCUGCAAAUAAGGUGCACAUCUUUAUGUGAGGGUAAUUAGCCAUUGGAACAACUCACCAAGGGCUGGGGUGGAUUCUCCAUCCCAGGCAAUUUUAAAAUCAAGACUGGUUGUCUUUUUUCCCUAAAUGAUCUGCUCUAGUUCAAAUAAACAAUGGAGGGAAAUCCUUUGGCCUCUGUUUUAGAGGAGAUCAGACGAGACGAUCCCAGUGGUCUCUUCUGACCUUCUAAGCCACGAAUCUAGAUUAAAGCCAGAAACGAUCGCAAUGAUCAUUUAGUCUGACCUGCACCACGCAGGCCAGAGAAUUCCACCCAGCCGUAGGAGUCAGAAGAGAGGGGUGUAGCACGGAAAAACAGCCGAUAGGAGCUGACGUUCAAGUAGUCCCCACCCAGCUUUAAACUCACCGGCUCUUCCAGCUCAUCACUAUACAAGGUUUUCUGCUGGGCCUGGGAGGUGCUGAGGGCCUCUGCCCGGCAACCUCCGCUCCUGCUGAGCUCAAUGGAAGGUGCAGGCAGCCAGACUGGAUCCUGCAUGAUUUGUGCUGGCUCCAGCAGAGGGAGCCCGGCUGCAAAGAAUGAUCUGUCUCUGCCUCGCACAAAGCUUAGGGGAGCCAGUGCCGGAUCUCGUUCAGGUUUAAACAAGCACCCAGCUGUGCUACAGGCUUAUGUUGGGCCAGAGCCUGGUCUCAGCUGCACCAGAAGAAAUCCAUUGACUUCAGGAGUUAAUCUGGAUUCACAUCCGUGGACCAGACCAGACCAGAUUCCAGCCCUGUGCAGCUCAUCAACUGUUACCUUGCUGGAGGCCAGCAGCAUGGGGGGCACUGCACAAGUUAUGCACUCUAGUGAGAUGGCUGGCAACCACUAAAAAACACACUU